UAAUUACUCCCUCCGUUUCAUAAUUCUUGUCUCAAAUUUGUCCAAAAAUGAAUGUAUCUAUUUCUAAAAAGUGUCUAGAUACAUGUAAUAUUUCAACAAGAAUUAUGAAACGGAGGGAGUAAAUU
Brachypodium distachyon (stiff brome) is the source of this 125-nucleotide non-coding RNA. The record is from Rfam. NCBI's taxonomy places the organism in Eukaryota, Viridiplantae, Streptophyta, Magnoliopsida, Poales, Poaceae.